Molecule: ribosomal RNA, 116 nt
Filed under: Gallus gallus (chicken)
Lineage: Eukaryota; Metazoa; Chordata; Aves; Galliformes; Phasianidae
Source: RNAcentral
GCCUACGGCCAUCCACCCUGGUAACGCCGAUCUCGUCUGAUCUCGAAGCUAAGCAGGGUCGGGCCUGGUUAGUACUUGGAUGGGAGACCUCCUGGGAAUACCGGGUGCUGUAGGCU